Molecule: ribosomal RNA, 520 nt
Filed under: uncultured Archaeospora
Lineage: Eukaryota; Fungi; Glomeromycota; Glomeromycetes; Archaeosporales; Archaeosporaceae
Description: SSU rRNA
Rfam family: Eukaryotic small subunit ribosomal RNA
Source: RNAcentral
AGCAGCCGCGGUAAUUCCAGCUCCAAUAGCGUAUAUUAAAGUUGUUGCAGUUAAAAAGCUCGUAGUUGAAUUUUGGAUUCUGCCUAUCGGUCCGUCUUUUAGACGAGUACUGGUGGUGUAGGGUCUAUCUGCCUGAUGAUACGUAAUGUCCUUUAUUGGGUGUUGCGGGUAGUCAGGACCUUUACCUUGAAAAAAUUUAGAGUGUUUAAAGCAGGCUUAUGCCGGAAUACAUUAGCAUGGAAUAAUAGAAUAGGACGAAGUUGUUUUAUUUUGUUGGUUUCUAGGACAACCGUAAUGAUUAAUAGGGAUAGUUGGGGGCAUUAGUAUUCAAUUGUCAGAGGUGAAAUUCUUGGAUUUAUUGAAGACUAACUACUGCGAAAGCAUUUGCCAAGGAUGUUUUCAUUAAUCAAGAACGAAAGUUAGGGGAUCGAAGACGAUCAGAUACCGUCGUAGUCUUAACCAUAAACUAUGCCGACUAGGGAUCGGGCGAUGUUGUUUCCAUGACUCGCUCGGCACCUUA